GAGUNCAGAAGGGGAGAGUGGAAUUCCAUGUGUAGCGGUGAAAUGCGUAGAUAUAUGGAGGANCACCAGUGGCGAAAGCGGCUCUCUGGUCUGUCACUGACGCUGAGGCUCGAAAGCGUGGGUAGCGAACAGGAUUAGAUACCCUGGUAGUNCACGCCGUAAACGAUGAGUGCUAGGUGUUAGGCCCUUUCCGGGGCUUAGUGCCGGAGCUAACGCAAUAAGCACUCCGCCUGGGGAGUACGACCGCAAGGUUGAAACUCAAAGGAAUUGACGGGGGCCCGCACAAGCGGUGGAGCAUGUGGUUUAAUUCGAAGCAACGCGAAGAACCUUACCAGGUCUUGACAUCCCGAUGCUAUUCUUAGAGAUAGGAAGUUACUUCGGUACAUCGGAGACAGGUGGUGCAUGGUUGUCGUCAGCUCGUGUCGUGAGAUGUUGGGUUAAGUCCCGCAACGAGCGCAACCCUUAUUGUUAGUUGCCAUCAUUAAGUUGGGCACUCUAGCGAGACUGCCGGUAAUAAACCGGAGGAAGGUGGGGAUGACGUCAAAUCAUCAUGCCCCUUAUGACCUGGGCUACACACGUGCUACAAUGGUCGGUACAACGAGUUGCGAGCCGGUGACGGCAAGCUAAUCUCUGAAAACCGAUCUCAGUUCGGAUUGGAGGCUGCAACUCGCCUCCAUGAAGUCGGAAUCGCUAGUAAUCGCGGAUCAGCACGCCGCGGUGAAUACGUUCCCGGGCCUUGUACACACCGCCCGUCACACCACGAGAGUUUGUAACACCCGAAGUCGGUGAGGUAACCUUUUAGGGGCCAGCCGCC
RNAcentral lists this ribosomal RNA (814 nucleotides) under uncultured bacterium. Its description in RNAcentral is "bacterial SSU rRNA". It matches the Rfam family "Bacterial small subunit ribosomal RNA", at positions 644 to 1457 of the family's 1533-position model. The record is from RNAcentral.